UUGCAUGCGGCAGCUACCAUGCAGUCGAGCGGUAACAGAUCCAGCUUGCUGGAUGCUGACGAGCGGCGGACGGGUGAGUAAUGCAUAGGAAUCUGCCCGAUAGUGGGGGAUAACCUGGGGAAACCCAGGCUAAUACCGCAUACGUCCUACGGGAGAAAGGGGGCUUCGGCUCCCGCUAUCGGAUGAGCCUAUGUCGGAUUAGCUAGUUGGUGAGGUAACGGCUCACCAAGGCGACGAUCCGUAGCUGGUCUGAGAGGAUGAUCAGCCACAUCGGGACUGAGACACGGCCCGAACUCCUACGGGAGGCAGCAGUGGGGAAUAUUGGACAAUGGGGGGAACCCUGAUCCAGCCAUGCCGCGUGUGUGAAGAAGGCCCUCGGGUUGUAAAGCACUUUCAGCGAGGAAGAACGCCUAGCGGUUAAUACCCGCUAGGAAAGACAUCACUCGCAGAAGAAGCACCGGCUAACUCCGUGCCAGCAGCCGCGGUAAUACGGAGGGUGCAAGCGUUAAUCGGAAUUACUGGGCGUAAAGCGCGCGUAGGUGGCUUGAUAAGCCGGUUGUGAAAGCCCCGGGCUCAACCUGGGAACGGCAUCCGGAACUGUCAAGCUAGAGUGCAGGAGAGGAAGGUAGAAUUCCCGGUGUAGCGGUGAAAUGCGUAGAGAUCGGGAGGAAUACCAGUGGCGAAGGCGGCCUUCUGGACUGACACUGACACUGAGGUGCGAAAGCGUGGGUAGCAAACAGGAUUAGAUACCC
This 752-nucleotide ribosomal RNA is filed under the name Vreelandella aquamarina. RNAcentral's name for it is "bacterial SSU rRNA". It matches the Rfam family "Bacterial small subunit ribosomal RNA", at positions 33 to 787 of the family's 1533-position model. The record is from RNAcentral. Lineage: Bacteria; Pseudomonadati; Pseudomonadota; Gammaproteobacteria; Oceanospirillales; Halomonadaceae.